RNAcentral lists this ribosomal RNA (772 nucleotides) under uncultured Neocallimastigales. Its description in RNAcentral is "partial large subunit ribosomal RNA". It matches the Rfam family "Eukaryotic large subunit ribosomal RNA", at positions 23 to 648 of the family's 3401-position model. Lineage: Eukaryota; Fungi; Neocallimastigomycota; Neocallimastigomycetes; Neocallimastigales. The record is from RNAcentral.
AGACUCUGUGCGCGUGCAUAUCAAUAAGCGGAGGAAAAGAAACUAACAAGGAUUCCCUAGUAACGGCGAGUGAAGCGGGAAGAGCCUCAAAUUUGAAAUCUUCAAGGUUUCCCUUGACGAAUUGUAGUUUAUAGAAGUGUUUUCUGUUAGUAGAGUGGCAAAAGUUCUUUGGAAUAGGACAUCAUAGAGGGUGAGAAUCCCGUAUUUGGUCAUUCUUUCUAGCUUUGUGAUACACUUUCAACGAGUCGGAUUGUUUGGGAAUGCAGUCCAAAAUGGGUGGUAAAUUUCAUCUAAAGCUAAAUAUUGGCGAGAGACCGAUAGCGAACAAGUACCGUGAGGGAAAGAUGAGAAGAACUUUGAAAAGAGAGUUAAACAGUACGUGAAAUUGUCAAAAGGGAAGCGUUUGACACCAGUGUUGUUUUUCCGAAAAUCAAUUACGAAUGUUUUGUUUUUAAGAAGUUAUGACUUCAUCGGCUUGCUUCUUUCUUUACGAAACUUUCUUAAUGCACUUUUCGGUUAACAAGUCAACAUCAAUUUCUUUUGUUGUAAAAGGGUAUGAGGAAGGUGGCUUUCUUUUCGGAGAAAGUGUUUAUAGCCUUGUACCUCUGCAAUCGGAGAGAUUGAGGUCUGCAGCGUAGAUCCUUCGGGGUUAGAUACAUUUGUGCUAAGUUAUAGCUUUUCAUAGACAACUUGUUGACUAUGUUAAGUCUUGUAGCUUACUCGCUUAUGCUAUUUUACCUACGCUUAGGAUGUUGACGAUCAGCUGAGCGCG